Molecule: long non-coding RNA, 1759 nt
Filed under: Lingula anatina
Lineage: Eukaryota; Metazoa; Brachiopoda; Lingulata; Lingulida; Lingulidae
Description: uncharacterized LOC106157410, transcript variant X5
Source: RNAcentral
GUUUCCGGUGCAUAAUAUUCUCAGACGACACGAUGAUAGUGCAUGUUGAAUAUCAUGAGGAGACAGACAGCACCCUAUUACGAUUUGGGUGGUGGCUAAUCUUUCCUCACCUGCUGGAAGAGCUCACCUCUGCAGUGCUGUUAGACAUUUGAAGCACAGUCAUACCCUGAGAGUUGGUAUUGUCCCAUUACCAAGUUGCAUGAAGGCAGCCAUAUUCCACUGGCCAUCCACACAGUACUGGUAACUCGGGUCCCACACACUGCCAGGAGCUUUGUCACCUGAACCUAGCUGCUGAAAGAGGACAACAUACAUGCCAUACUGAAAGGGACAAAGUCACUCAGUGACUUGGAAGUUCGUGGUAUGGUAAUGGAGGUGUACCUUAAGGCCCUGGGCGUACAGACGGUAGCUUUCCUGCAGUUCCACUCAGCCUUCAGCACCCAAGUCCUGGGCUUUCAGCCAGGCGCCCGAGGAGUUAUAUUGAAUGGAAGAAUAAUUGGUCCGUUAAAGGAAGCAUUCAUAGAGGAUGACAAAAAUCUACUGGAAAAAUAUACACUGAAGUCGUCUGCUGAGAAAAUUGUUCAGAUGCUGACGGGAUUUACAGAGGACACAAAGAGGUACAGUGAGUGUUGAAGUGAUAUAACAUGGGGCUUAAAGGGACAAAAAAUAGGAUCUGAAAUGCUUUCUUAGUGCAUGGAUUGCUUCUUUUUGAACUUAUCUGAGAACAAUUGAUAUAUUUAAAACAUAAAAUGGCAGAUAAAUGGCCUUAAUCAGUAUCGCAAAAAAGAAUCAUAUUCACCGUCCCCUUUCAAACCCCGGGCGUCAGCCAUCUUGACACAGUUUGAAAUAACGCGGCUUCUCGACUCAGAUACGAGAUGUAAACAAUGCAGACAGCAUGUCUGACUCAAAGGUGAGCAUGGGCGUGAAGAGGAAGAGUAAUUGUUCACAGAAUCCUUGCAGGUAAGCGAGUUAUAUUCACUAUAAGUGAUUUAAAAUAGGAAGGUGGCAGUGGAAAUCAAAAUGUCUGAUAGUGAAAGUUAAAAAGCGUAGAUAACUGCUAAUAAACGUUUCCUCGGGUAACGCACUCGCAGUCCCCAAACCACUCGCACUGGGUACGUACUACUAGUUACAUGAAGUUAGGUAGUGCACUUAGCCCCUGUAAAGCAGGGUUCUGUAAAGCAGGAGGAAUACCCUUUUUCUGCCCAAUGUGGUCAUCUACCAGUACUUGCAGACUAACCUCACACCAUAUUCCCGCAGGGGAAUCCCAUGAGAUAUACAAUCCUUUCAGAGGAGGAACUGGGUGAUACACCCCUUCAAGCAUGAGUGGAGAGAUUGGUGCCAAGUUAUAUCUGGAAAACUCAUACCAGGAAGCACUCCAAUCUUACAAUACUGCAUCACUUCAAUGUUGGCGUGACAAGUUGUGUAAAAAGACUGCUACAAAAGAAUUUGCAUUGAUGACCACAUAAUCCACCACCUUUUACCAAAACCAAGUGAACAGUUUUAUAUUAUAAUGCCCAUGUACAUGUAUUUAAGUGACAAGACUGAGAUCAGCGAGAGCCUCAAGGACUUUUAUUUUCUGGGCAUUGUCAACUAUUCAAUAAUUUUAUAAUUUUGCCAAAUACAUCCAAAGAUUCAAUUCUUGUGCAAUUCUUGAAAAUAUUUUUUUAGAAUAUAUUUUAAUGUCUAACAUGUUUUUCUAAAAACUAGCCCUUUAGUAUAUUAACAUUAUGUACCAUCCAACUAUUAUUAUUACUUAACAUAU